AACGAACGCUGGCGGCAUGCCUAACACAUGCAAGUCGAACGAGACCUUCGGGUCUAGUGGCGCACGGGUGCGUAACGCGUGGGAACCUGCCCUUAGGUUCGGAAUAACUCCCCGAAAGGGGUGCUAAUACCGGAUAAUGUCUUCGGACCAAAGAUUUAUUGCCUUUGGAUGGGCCCGCGUUGGAUUCGCUAGUUGGUAGGGUAAAAGCCUACCAAGGCGACGAUCCAUAGCUGGUCUGAGAGGAUGAUCAGCCACACUGGGACUGAGACACGGCCCAGACUCCUACGGGAGGCAGCAGUGGGGAAUAUUGGACAAUGGGCGAAAGCCUGAUCCAGCAAUGCCGCGUGAGUGAUGAAGGCCGUAGGGUUGUAAAGCUCUUUUACCCGGGAUGAUAAUGACAGUACCGGGAGAAUAAGCUCCGGCUAACUCCGUG
This 433-nucleotide ribosomal RNA is filed under the name uncultured bacterium. RNAcentral's name for it is "partial 16S ribosomal RNA". It matches the Rfam family "Bacterial small subunit ribosomal RNA", at positions 29 to 507 of the family's 1533-position model. The record is from RNAcentral.